GCGGCGGACGGGUGAGUAACACGUAGGCAACCUGCCUGCAAGACCGGGAUAACAUUCGGAAACGAAUGCUAAGACCGGAUACGCAAGCCUGGGGCAUCUCGGGCUUGGGAAACACGGAGCAAUCUGUGGCUUGCGGAUGGGCCUGCGGCGCAUUAGCUAGUUGGUGGGGUAACGGCUCACCAAGGCGACGAUGCGUAGCCGACCUGAGAGGGUGAACGGCCACACUGGGACUGAGACACGGCCCAGACUCCUACGGGAGGCAGCAGUAGGGAAUCUUCCACAAUGGGCGCAAGCCUGAUGGAGCAACGCCGCGUGAGUGAGGAAGGCCUUCGGGUCGUAAAGCUCUGUUGCCAGGGAAGAAUAAGAGCCAGUUAACUGCUGGCUUGAUGACGGUACCUGAGAAGAAAGCCCCGGCUAACUACGUGCCAGCAGCCGCGGUAAUACGUAGGGGGCAAGCGUUGUCCGGAAUUAUUGGGCGUAAAGCGCGCGCAGGCGGUCUUUUAAGUCUGGUGUUUAAGUGCGGGGCUCAACCCCGUGACGCACUGGAAACUGGGAGACUUGAGUGCAGAAGAGGAGAGCGGAAUUCCACGUGUAGCGGUGAAAUGCGUAGAGAUGU
Molecule: ribosomal RNA, 616 nt
Filed under: Cohnella damuensis
Lineage: Bacteria; Bacillati; Bacillota; Bacilli; Caryophanales; Paenibacillaceae
Description: bacterial SSU rRNA
Rfam family: Bacterial small subunit ribosomal RNA
Source: RNAcentral